Molecule: ribosomal RNA, 462 nt
Filed under: uncultured bacterium
Lineage: Bacteria
Description: partial 16S ribosomal RNA
Rfam family: Bacterial small subunit ribosomal RNA
Source: RNAcentral
GACGAACGCUGGCGGCGUGCUUAACACAUGCAAGUCGAACGGAAAGGCCCUUCGGGGUACUCGAGUGGCGAACGGGUGAGUAACACGUGGGUGAUCUGCCCUGCACUUUGGGAUAAGCCUGGGAAACUGGGUCUAAUACCGAAUAGGACCGCGCGCUUCAUGGUGUGUGGUGGAAAGCUUUUGCGGUGUGGGAUGGGCCCGCGGCCUAUCAGCUUGUUGGUGGGGUAAUGGCCUACCAAGCCGACGACGGGUAGCCGGCCUGAGAGGGUGACCGGCCACACUGGGACUGAGAUACGGCCCAGUCUCCUACGGGAGGCAGCAGUGGGGAAUAUUGCACAAUGGGCGCAAGCCUGAUGCAGCGACGCCGCGUGAGGGAUGACGGCCUUCGGGUUGUAAACCUCUUUCACCAGGGACGAAGCGCAAGUGACGGUACCUGGAGAAGAAGCACCGGCCAACUACGUG